Molecule: unclassified non-coding RNA, 351 nt
Filed under: soil metagenome
Description: partial contains 5.8S ribosomal RNA, internal transcribed spacer 2, and large subunit ribosomal RNA
Rfam family: 5.8S ribosomal RNA (bases 1-120)
Source: RNAcentral
GAUGAAGAACGUAGCGAAAUGCGAUACGUAGUGUGAAUUGCAGAAUUCAGUGAAUCAUCGAAUCUUUGAACGCACAUUGCGCCCUUUGGUAUUCCAAAGGGCAUGCCUGUUCGAGUGUCAUUUGUACCUUCAAGCUUUGCUUGGUGUUGGGCGUUUUUUGUCUCCCUCUUUCUGGGAGACUCGCCUUAAAACGAUUGGCAGCCGGCCUACUGGUUUCGGAGCGCAGCACAUAUUUUGCGCUUUGUAUCAGGAGAAAAGGACGGUAAUCCAUCAAGACUCUACAUUUUUAACUUUUGACCUCGGAUCAGGUAGGGAUACCCGCUGAACUUAAGCAUAUCAAUAAGCGGAGGA